AAUAAUUGGACCAAUUUAGCCCCAUGGACAGGCUAUUAAAAGGGUUCCUCAUUCUUAGCAGGAGAGAAGCAUGGGAAGAGAGAGGCGCGUGAAUUUAAAGGACCUGUUGUGAGGAUAAGGACCUGUUGUGAGGAUAAGGACCUGUUGUGAGGAUAAGUCUGAACUGGGAAGAGGAGAAACGCGACGUGAUGCGGCCCCUCAGAGGCCCCGCCGGCUAAAUGAAGACAGAUGCGGGCGUUCGCUUUCAAGGUGAGGUUUUAUUUGGUAUUAGCCUAUCAAUUUGCUAAUGCACAAUUUUGGAGGCCAGCCGCUGGAGACGAGUGACAGAGCGGACAAAUGGAUAUUGAUGAUAAAAGGUUUCCAUUAUUUGCCUGCUAUUUUUUCCCUCUUAUCUUUUUUUUUUUCUUCUUCAACGUUUUUCUUCCUUUUUUUCCUUUUGAACAUCAGAGGUGGUGCAAAUCGUAAUGGAUGGCCACUGCAGAUUUCAAGCCUUCAAUUCGGAGUCAUAGGAUCCCAGACAGCUGAUCGAGUUUCGUCAAAUGGCUUUCAUGAAAUUUCUCCAGUGGCUCUAUUGAUUUUGUGGACCUCCUCACCUCCGAGUCUGACCGUGGAAAAUGGACAUGCACACACAUAACUGACGAGAUAAACAGAGAAGAGCUUCAAACAUUUCCUCUCAAUGGCCAUUUUUAGCUGCAUGGAAGCAAAGCCAGAUAGAGCUUGAAGUGGACCCUGACCUGGCACCAGUGCGGCCAGAUCAGGGCCAAGUCCACCCGGCAGAUCACCGCCAACUGAGACUCCAGAGGCCUGGACCCUCUCGGGGGAGUAGGGGAUGAUGGAUGAGAUCUUCCUAAACUUAUGCAGCUCUACGUUCCUCUGGAUAUUGUGUUUCCGAUUCAAAUAGGCCACUGAUCACUUCAUAUAUAUGAGCUCUAGAAAAAGCGUGGUUAUAGAAUGUCAAAGGCAUCACCCCCGCAUAAAGGGUAGUGUAAUGUAUGAUUUAUAUCCUAUCACAACAACAACAAAAAGUAAAACAAAGACAUGAACGAAAACAUGCACAUGCAAGUGUGUGUGCGGGUGUGUGCGUGUGUGUGUGUGUGUGUGUGUGAUCCUGGAUAACUGAGUUCCCCAGUGCACUUCAUUUUUGUCCCUCCUAAUAUGUCCAUCAGCCACUGCACUGCAAAAAUUCAGCUUUCAAAAACAAAAAAAAACAAAAGAAAUAAAA
Molecule: long non-coding RNA, 1222 nt
Organism: Clupea harengus (Atlantic herring)
Lineage: Eukaryota; Metazoa; Chordata; Actinopteri; Clupeiformes; Clupeidae
Exons: 2
Source: RefSeq, a predicted model, not a curated record